RNAcentral lists this ribosomal RNA (440 nucleotides) under uncultured bacterium. RNAcentral describes it as "partial 16S ribosomal RNA". It matches the Rfam family "Bacterial small subunit ribosomal RNA", at positions 338 to 795 of the family's 1533-position model. The record is from RNAcentral.
CCUACGGGUGGCAGCAGUGGGGAAUAUUGCACAAUGGGGGAAACCCUGAUGCAGCGACGCAGCGUGAGCGAAGAAGUAUUUCGGUAUGGAAAGCUCUAUCAGCAGGGAAGAAAAUGACGGUACCUGAGUAAGAAGCUACGGCUAAAUACGUGACAGCAGCCGCGGUAAUACGUAUGGAGGAAGCGUUAUCCGGAUUUACUGGGUGUAAAGGGAGCGCAGGGGGCCUUGCAAGUCUGAUGUGAAAUACCGGGGCUCAACCCCGGAGCUGCAAGUGAAACUGUGAGGCGUGAGUGUCGGAGAGGUAGGCGGAAUUCCUAGUGUAGCGGUGAAAUGUGUAGAUAUUAGGAGGAACACCAGUGGCGAAGGCAGCCUGCUGGACGAUGACUGACGCUGAGGCUCGAAAGCGUGGGGAGCAAACAGGAUUAGAGACCCUGGUAGUC